This 429-nucleotide ribosomal RNA is filed under the name Bacteroidota bacterium. RNAcentral describes it as "Bacteroidetes bacterium partial 16S ribosomal RNA". It matches the Rfam family "Bacterial small subunit ribosomal RNA", at positions 355 to 776 of the family's 1533-position model. The record is from RNAcentral. Lineage: Bacteria; Pseudomonadati; Bacteroidota.
UAGGGAAUCUUCCGCAAUGGACGCAAGUCUGACGGAGCAACGCCGCGUGAGUGAAGAAGGAUUUCGGUUCGUAAAACUCUGUUGUUAGAGAAGAACAGCGCAUAGAGUAACUGUUAUGCGUGUGACGGUAUCUAACCAGAAAGCCACGGCUAACUACGUGCCAGCAGCCGCGGUAAUACGUAGGUGGCAAGCGUUGUCCGGAUUCAUUGGGCGUAAAGCGCUCGUAGGCGGUCUGUUAGGUCGGCAAGUUAAAUCCGGGGGCUCAACCCCCGUCCGCUUCCGAUACCGGCAGACUUGAGGUUGGUAGGGGAAGGUGGAAUUCCUAGUGUAGCGGUGGAAUGCGCAGAUAUUAGGAAGAACACCGGUGGCGAAGGCGGCCUUCUGGGCCAUAACUGACGCUGAGGAGCGAAAGCUAGGGGAGCGAACAGG